GACGGAGGAUGCAAGCGUUAUCCGGAAUGACUGGGCGUAAAGCGUCCGCAGGCGGCAGUUCAAGUCUGCUGUCAAAGACCGGGGCUUAACUUCGGAAAGGCAGUGGAAACUGAACAGCUAGAGUAUGGUAGGGGCAGAGGGAAUUCCUGGUGUAGCGGUGAAAUGCGUAGAGAUCAGGAAGAACAUCGGUGGCGAAGGCGCUCUGCUGGACCAUAACUGACACUCAGGGACGAAAGCUAGGGGAGCGAAUGGG
RNAcentral lists this ribosomal RNA (253 nucleotides) under uncultured bacterium. RNAcentral describes it as "partial 16S ribosomal RNA". It matches the Rfam family "Bacterial small subunit ribosomal RNA", at positions 524 to 776 of the family's 1533-position model. The record is from RNAcentral.